Acipenser ruthenus (sterlet) is the source of this 444-nucleotide non-coding RNA. The record is from the annotation of a RefSeq genome assembly. NCBI's taxonomy places the organism in Eukaryota, Metazoa, Chordata, Actinopteri, Acipenseriformes, Acipenseridae.
UUCAUGGCAACAGACUCCACAACAACAAUGACUUUUAUCAGCAUCUUCAUCUGGGCACUUGUCAUCUGCACUCAGGAAUCCAGUGGACAGUAUACUGUGACUCAGACUCCAGCAGUGAAAUCUGUUCUCCCAGGAGAUACAGUCGCUCUGAGCUGUAAAACCAGCACCGCAGUGGCCACUGCUAGCAAUUCCCACCUCCUAGCCUGGUACCAACAGAAACCUGGAGAAGCUCCCAAACUCCUGAUCUAUGAAGCAAGUAAACUUCAGUCUGGGAUUCCAACUCGUUUCAGUGGCAGUGGAUCUGGGACUGACUUCACUCUGACCAUCAGUGGAGUCCAGGCUGAAGAUGCAGGAGAUUACUAUUGUCAGAGUUUCCACUACCCCAGCAGUAGAGCUGUGUUCACACAUCCUGCUGUCCUGGGAGUGUUCAUGCUAAACUGCUAA